Molecule: RNA transcript, 3849 nt
Organism: Macadamia integrifolia
Lineage: Eukaryota; Viridiplantae; Streptophyta; Magnoliopsida; Proteales; Proteaceae
Gene name: serine/arginine repetitive matrix protein 1-like
Exons: 16
Source: RefSeq, a predicted model, not a curated record
UUUUGUGGGUAUAACUCUCGUUUCGGUGAAACGCACAAACUCAAAGCAUCGUCAAGAAGUUCUGAUACUGCUGGGGUCGUGGAUGAUGCAGGGAGAAUAGUAGGAUCGAUUCGUUUCGUCUAAACUGAAAGUUCAUACUUUUUCGCUUGCGCCAUGAGUGGAGUAAAGUGGAAAAAGCACUAAAUUCUCAUUAUCAGCGAUUCCCAAAUUUGCUCACCCUCAAAUUCUAUUUCUUUCCCGUUUCAACUAACUCUUUCAGGUCUUUUGAAAUCCAUUGAAGAUGUCUGGCGGGUUCUUCCGAGGCACCUCUGCCGAUCAGGAUACUCGUUUCUCGAACAAACAGGCGAAGCUGUUGAAAUCCCAGAAGUUCCCCCCGGAAUUGGAUCAUUUGGUGGAUAUGACUAAGGUGAAGAUAGAUACGGUUAAACCCUGGAUAGCUAAGAGGGUAACAGAGCUUCUUGGAUUUGAGGACGAAGUACUUAUCAACUUCAUAUAUGGCCUGCUAGAUAGAAAGGACGUGAAUGGAAAAGAGGUGCAAAUCCAUCUCACUGGAUUCAUGGAGAAAAACACUGGAAAAUUCAUGAAAGAACUUUGGACUCUACUGCUCAGUGCUCAGAAAAAUGCUAGUGGUAUCCCUCAACAAAUAUUGGAUGCUACAGACGAGGAACUUAGGAAGAAAAAGGCGGAAGCAGAUCGAAUCACCCUUGAAAUUCAUAAGAGGAAAGAGAAAGAGGGAAGGGAGCUCCAGCUAGAGAAGCUGAAGAAGAUGGACAGCGGUGAUGAUGAAUCGAGGGCCAAUAAAGCUGCACCUGAUCCUGUCUUGAAGCAUUCACAGGCCAGAGGCUCCAGUGAAGAGAACGAAGCUGACGAGAGGAAUGGAUCCAGGAAGAUGAACAGGGCAUCCAAAUCUCCAAAUUCAGUGGAUCGUUCCUCUUUUAGUCGCUCCCCUUCCAGGUCAGUCAGCAAGUCAUUUUCCAAUUCAAGGAGCUACUCAGAUGAAAGGCACAGAUCAAGGAGCAUAUCCAGAUCACCUCAAACACGAAGGCAUUCUAUUUCUCCCGAAAAGUGGAAUCGAUCUCCAAGGAAGCGGUCUGUUUCUCCUCAUUACCGGCAUUCUCCGCGAAAACCUCGUUCUCCUUUACGGCGGAGAUCACAUCAUUCAAGACACAGGUCAUCAUCAUAUUCGCAGCGUAGAUCGCUUUCUCCUGUGCGGCGUAGACUGUCCUCUCCAUCAAGACGUAGAUCACCUUCUCCUGUGUGGCGUAGAUCGCCUUCUCCUGUGAGAAAUAGAUCUCCUCCUCCUCUGCGGCAUGGAUUACUUUCUCCUGUGCGACGUAGAUCACGUAGAUCUCCAUCGCCUCCACGUCGUAGGUCUCCUCCUAUGCGUAGGAGGUCUCCUUUUAGUGUCCGUAGGAGGUCACCGGCUCCUUCCCGACGUCGGUCUCCUCCUUCUAGGUGGAGUUCCCCAUCACCAGUUCGGGGCAGGUCACCCUCUCCAGUUAGGAGAUCUCCUCUUUCUAGGUUCCCAAGCCAUAGGAGGAGAUCACCAUUGCGAUCUUCAAGACAGAGAUAUAGGAGUCGUAGUCCUUAUAAAAGUCGCAGUCCUGCAUAUCGAAGUCGUAGAAGCUUGAGUAGGGACCGUGAUCUUAGAGCUAAUGGUAUGGAAUCCAGAAGUGCACGUGAUGAUUAUGUCUCGCAAAGGGUCCCUGGGAAGACAUCUCCUGUUCGUCAUACUCCCAAGAGAGAGGUUGAACGACUAGGUCAGGCACACAGGGGAUCAGAUUCGGAGUCUCACCAACCACGAAUUUCGUUGAGAUCACCACAACGAGAUCCUACCAUCCGAAGGAACAAUCAGAAAAAGCUUGCUUUGGCUCAUUCACCGGAUUCAUCUCAAAGGUCGCCAGAAUCAUCACCGCACAUGGGGAAAUCAAGCCCUCAGGAUGAUAGGGCCUGCAAUCCAUCUGAGAGUCCUGUGAGGCAAGGGAAAGAAAGGAUGAGUCAUGGCAGUCCAAGUCCUGUGAGACAACCAAGAAAACAUAUAGCUCAUCAUGACAGCUCAGAAACAAGUUCGGAGGAAGAGAUGGGUCAUGCCAGGGAGGAUGGGGAUUAUAGAACUAAUCAUUCGGAAAGAAGAAUCAGGCAUUCACCCACAUUUGGCCAUAAGAACAAUUAUUCUGUGGAGGACUUCCAAGAGAAAUUGUAUCCCCCUGAAAGAGUGGAUGGUCAUCAGUCUGCCGAAGAUAUGGGCCAUCCAGAUAACACAGAGCUGAAAAAGAAAGACCAGGACAAAAAGAGUUUGAAAGCUUCAAUGGGAACUGAUCAUUCAGAAAAUCCCAUCCAAAAAGAUUCUACUUUGGUGGGAGAUAUUGAGUAUGGGCCUGGGAGGCAAGAUGGAAGAAGCUUUGUACCGGAUGAUAGUCAGGUUGGACCACAAUCUGCUAAGAAACGUGGAAGAGUUUCUCCUUCAUCAUGUGAAAAAUUACAGAAAUCAUAUUCCAGAGAAGGUAAUAAAUCAGAGGAGAGGAAGCAUUCCCAUUCAAGCAAUGCUGAGGAGAGGGACCGGGGUCACAUGACAGAAAUAUUACGGAAAUCAAUAAAGAAGGUUGAUAGGAAGAAUCGUCCUGGUGCCUCUGAUUCUGAUUCUGAUUCAGAGGAAAAUGGGAAACACAGAUCUGAUUAUAUGGAGAAGAGAAAGCAUAAGAAGUCAAGUAGGCAUGAAGUGGCUUCGGAUGAUAAUGCAUAUGAUGAUUCUGAAAUAGAUGAAAGGAAGGAGGCCAAGAGAAGAAGGAAGGAAGAGAAGAGAUUGAGGAAAGAGGAGAGGCGGCGACGAAGGGAAGAACGCCACCGUAGAAGGGAAGAACGCCGUGCGAGUAAGCUGAAAGCCAAAUCAGUGGACACAGUUGCUCCACCUUCAGAUUUUGAAAAAAUUCGAAAUGAUGUGGAUGAUUCAGAACUUGAGGUUGAUGCCAGGAAAGAUUCAAAUCCAAGUGACACUGACGAAACACAGUCUAAGCAGAAAAAACUUGAGAUUGAGCUGCGAAAGAAGGCUCUUGAAUCGCUAAGAGCAAAGAAGGGCACUAAUUACUAAAUUGUUACUUCUUUUUUUUCCGACAGUAUCUAUUAACAUUUACUAUUAAACAAUAUUUUGCUAGAAAUGGGAGUUUUCCUGUUAUGUAAUAGUUGUUUAAUGGAGUCUGUGUUUACUGCUGGCAGCUUUACCUGAUAAAUGAAGAUUCCUGAGCCAUACUAGAUGUGCAACUUUGUGCAGAACUUGCUGCUAGAUUUUUCUGAUGAGAAUACUGUCAACUAGGUGACUUGGUUGAGCAGGGCCUUGUGCAGUACCAGUUUUUGUACAUCAAAUCAGCUUGACAGUGCUGGGACUGUUUUAAAAUUCACCAAGAUGAUAUAGGCUACCGAGUCAUCCUAUCUUGAUCUUGAUGUCAGCUCUUAACUUUCUGUGGACCACAUCACAAUGUAUGUAUGAAUGCUGAUAAACUGUAAAAAGUUAAUGCAAACUUAUUUUUCAUUUGAGUUUUGAAGUUCAUUGUGUUUGUACUUACCAGGGAUCCUUUGUUUGUUUCAUCUUCUUUUUUUUCUCCCUUCUCUUUUGAUGGAAGUGGGAUUCUGCUAAUGUGGUGUCUUACUGAAUGAGAUCUGGACAUAAAUGUCUUAUUUGUUUCAUCCAUUUCCUUUUCCUGUUGCAGUCUUGAUUGUAUCUGAAUAUUUGACCUGUUAGUGACCAAACUGAAUUAUAUAGCGGCUGUGGCCUUGUAAAUUAGUGUGUACGGCCUUGUCAAGGCCUGAUCUGUUACAGGUGCAAAAAAUCUUUGGUUCAAUAAGUUUGACAUG